This 377-nucleotide ribosomal RNA is filed under the name uncultured bacterium. RNAcentral's name for it is "bacterial SSU rRNA". It matches the Rfam family "Bacterial small subunit ribosomal RNA", at positions 28 to 400 of the family's 1533-position model. The record is from RNAcentral.
GACGAACGCUGGCGGCGUGCUUAACACAUGCAAGUGGAGCGACGAACCAGGGCUUGCCCUGGGGCAGAGCCGCGAACGGGUGAGUAACACGUGGGUUACCUGCCCCGAUGAUUGGGACAACCCGAGGAAACUCGGGCUAAUACCAAAUGUGCUCCUGGCCAUAAUGGCCUUGAGGAAAGGAAGCUUCGGCCUCCGCAUCGGGAUGGGCCCGCGGCCCAUUAGCUAGUUGGUGGGGUAACGGCCACCAAGGCGACGAUGGGUAGCUGGUCUGAGAGGACGAUCAGCCACACUGGGACUGAGACACGGCCCAGACUCCUACGGGAGGCAGCAGUGGGGAAUCUUGCGCAAUGCGCGAAAGCGUGACGCAGCAACGCCGC